CCACAGUGGCAGUGUGGUUAGCUGGUUGUUUAGUCACAGCAACAGCCAGUAACGCCACUGCCUCUGCGU
Heliconius melpomene (postman butterfly) is the source of this 69-nucleotide non-coding RNA. Lineage: Eukaryota; Metazoa; Arthropoda; Insecta; Lepidoptera; Nymphalidae. The record is from Rfam.